This 578-nucleotide ribosomal RNA is filed under the name Phenoliferia psychrophenolica. RNAcentral describes it as "eukaryotic LSU rRNA". It matches the Rfam family "Eukaryotic large subunit ribosomal RNA", at positions 83 to 659 of the family's 3401-position model. Lineage: Eukaryota; Fungi; Basidiomycota; Microbotryomycetes; Kriegeriales; Kriegeriaceae. The record is from RNAcentral.
GUACGGCGAGUGAAGCGGGAAGAGCUCAAAUUUGUAAUCUGGCACCUUCGGUGUCCGAGUUGUAAUCUCGAGAAGUGUUUUCCGCGCCGGACCGCAUACAAGUCUGUUGGAAUACAGCGUCAUAGUGGUGAGAACCCCGUAACUGAUGCGGAUGCCCGGUGCUUUGUGAUACACUUUCGAAGAGUCGAGUUGUUUGGGAAUGCAGCUCAAAUUGGGUGGUAAAUUCCAUCUAAAGCUAAAUAUUGGCGAGAGACCGAUAGCGAACAAGUACCGUGAGGGAAAGAUGAAAAGCACUUUGGAAAGAGAGUUAACAGUACGUGAAAUUGUUGGAAGGGAAACGCUUGAAGUCAGACUUGCUAUUUGGAAUUCAGCCGCAAGGUGUACUUUUCAAUUCGCAGGCCAGCAUCAGUUUUCGGGGGUGGAAAAGGGUAGAGAGAAGGUAGCAAUUUCGGUUGUGUUAUAGCUCUUUGCUGGAUUCAUCCUUGGGGACUGAGGAACGCAGCACGCUUUUUGCAAGGCUUUCGAGCUUUUCGUGCUUAGGAUGCUGGUGGAAUGGCUUUAAACGACCCGUCUUGAAA